AUGGCGUGUGCGGCGACCGCUCCUUUUGCCGGCGGCGUGGCGAUGGAAGCUGACGGCGGGCUAGAAUUCCUACUGGAUCCAGUAGACCGGUUUCCACUAAGAGAGGAGUCAGCAGAUAAUUUGGAACAUCCAGAUCCGGUGCCGUUGGCGCUACUGCCACGCCGCGAGAUCCGGGGAAGGAAGAAUGCUUCGCCAACUAGGUCUCCACAAUCCACGGGGGAGGUGAAUCACGAAGCACCUGGCUGGACCAAGGUUGAGGCUGGGGAGUACACCGCCCUGGAACAAUCCAUCCAGAAAUAUGCAGAAGAACCUAGUAAGAGUGUGGUGAAACCUGAACUUGGUCUGAGUUUUGACUUGUCGGGUGAGGCGUAUGACUUUUACAAUUUGUAUUCGUGGGUGGUUGGCUUUGGGAUACGCUAUGGUAAGAGUAGAUUGAACGAUAAGAGGACGAAGAUAAUGCAGGAGAUCCUGUCCGGCUGUGCGGGGAAGCCGGAGGUGAAGAACAGCCGGUCAUGCAGGUGCAGUGACAAGACAAGUCUGUAUGACAUGCCAUUCGGUCUUUUUGUUCGGGUGAACCACCAUUUCCAGAGUGUUAUACUGGUGGGUGUUCGCAGAAUUUCUUAG
This 624-nucleotide ribosomal RNA is filed under the name Triticum aestivum (bread wheat). Its description in RNAcentral is "partial small subunit ribosomal RNA". Lineage: Eukaryota; Viridiplantae; Streptophyta; Magnoliopsida; Poales; Poaceae. The record is from RNAcentral.